Molecule: long non-coding RNA, 323 nt
Organism: Lactuca sativa (garden lettuce)
Lineage: Eukaryota; Viridiplantae; Streptophyta; Magnoliopsida; Asterales; Asteraceae
Source: RefSeq, a predicted model, not a curated record
UCUGAUUAUUGAUUAUAUAUUAUGAGUAAGGAGAGCAUUCUAAACAUUCUGGAAACUUUAAAAUAAGAGGGAAAUAGGGUCUUGUUCAAUGCUUUAGCUGUGUUUGCUCUAAGGGAGAUCAACUUAUCACAAGUGAGUAAUCAAGAUUAAGGGAGACUUGUAAUCAUGUUUGACAUUCCUUUCCAGUAAGAAAAAGAGUUGUAUGAUUAUUUGUUAGUUUUAUAGGAAUGUAUAACCCAUGUUAGCAAUGUUUUAUUUUUGUUUAACAUUUGAAUGAUUCUUUGUAUGACAUUACAAUUUGUGUAAUUUAUUUUAUUUUUUGA